UUAGAGUUUGAUCCUGGCUCAGGACGAACGCUGGCGGCGUGCUUAACACAUGCAAGUCGAACGAUGAAGCUCUAGCUUGCUGGGGUGGAUUAGUGGCGAACGGGUGAGUAACACGUGAGUAACCUGCCCUCCACUUCGGGAUAACGCCUGGAAACGGGUGCUAAUACCGGAUAUGACGCGCUAUCGCAUGGUGGUGUGUGGAAAGACUGUGUUGGUGGGGGAUGGGCUCGCGGCCUAUCAGCUUGUUGGUGGGGUGAUGGCCUACCAAGGCGGUGACGGGUAGCCGGCCUGAGAGGGUGACCGGCCACACUGGGACUGAGACACGGCCCAGACUCCUACGGGAGGCAGCAGUGGGGAAUAUUGCACAAUGGGCGGAAGCCUGAUGCAGCGACGCCGCGUGAGGGAUGACGGCCUUCGGGUUGUAAACCUCUUUCGGUAGGGAAGAAGCCUUCGGGUGACGGUACCUGCGGAAGAAGCGCCGGCUAACUACGUGCCAGCAGCCGCGGUAAUACGUAGGGCGCAAGCGUUGUCCGGAAUUAUUGGGCGUAAAGAGCUCGUAGGCGGCCUGUCGCGUCUGCUGUGAAAGCCCGGGGCUUAACUCCGGGUCUGCAGUGGGUACGGGCGGGCUGGAGUGCGGUAGGGGAGACUGGAAUUCCUGGUGUAGCGGUGGAAUGCGCAGAUAUCAGGAGGAACACCGGUGGCGAAGGCGGGUCUCUGGGCCGUUACUGACGCUGAGGAGCGAAAGCAUGGGGAGCGAACAGGAUUAGAUACCCUGGUAGUCCAUGCCGUAAACGUUGGGCACUAGGUGUGGGGCCUGUUUCCACGGGUUCUGUGCCGUAGCUAACGCAUUAAGUGCCCCGCCUGGGGAGUACGGCCGCAAGGCUAAAACUCAAAGGAAUUGACGGGGGCCCGCACAAGCGGCGGAGCAUGCGGAUUAAUUCGAUGCAACGCGAAGAACCUUACCAAGGCUUGACAUGCACCGGACGCAUCCAGAGAUGGGUGUUCCCUUUGGGUCGGUGCACAGGUGGUGCAUGGUUGUCGUCAGCUCGUGUCGUGAGAUGUUGGGUUAAGUCCCGCAACGAGCGCAACCCUCGUCCUGUGUUGCCAGCGGGUUAUGCCGGGGACUCAUGGGAGACUGCCGGGGUCAACUCGGAGGAAGGUGGGGAUGACGUCAAAUCAUCACGCCCCUUAUGUCUUGGGCUUCACGCAUGCUACAAUGGCCGGUACAAUGGGUUGCGAUGCCGUGAGGUGGAGCGAAUCCCAAAAAGCCGGUCUCAGUUCGGAUUGGGGUCUGCAACUCGACCCCAUGAAGUCGGAGUCGCUAGUAAUCGCAGAUCAGCAACGCUGCGGUGAAUACGUUCUCGGGCCUUGUACACACCGCCCGUCACGUCACGAAAGUCGGUAACACCCGAAGCCGGUGGCCUAACCCUUGUGGGGGGAGCCGUCGAAGGUGGGACUGGCGAUUGGGACGAAGUCGUAACAAGGUAACC
RNAcentral lists this ribosomal RNA (1490 nucleotides) under Georgenia sediminis. Its description in RNAcentral is "16S ribosomal RNA". It matches the Rfam family "Bacterial small subunit ribosomal RNA". The record is from RNAcentral. Lineage: Bacteria; Bacillati; Actinomycetota; Actinomycetes; Allobogoriellales; Allobogoriellaceae.